AAUGGCUCUGGAUGCUAGAAAAUGACAAUGGCCUGGCCAAAUAUCUCAAGAAAUACACUCUCAGCUAAUGUAUAUGGAAAAUGGUCAAUCUCAUUUUUGGCAUGGUUCGAUGGUGGUUAAGGAUAUUUAUAACAAUUUUAGUGUUGAAAUAUUGUUGGUAAUGGCAAGAAUAUUAGAUUCCGGGAGGAUAUCUGGAUGGAUGACUU
Molecule: long non-coding RNA, 206 nt
Filed under: Brachypodium distachyon (stiff brome)
Lineage: Eukaryota; Viridiplantae; Streptophyta; Magnoliopsida; Poales; Poaceae
Description: long non-coding RNA (BDIS_LNC002610)
Source: RNAcentral